Molecule: unclassified non-coding RNA, 268 nt
Filed under: Hevea brasiliensis (rubber tree)
Lineage: Eukaryota; Viridiplantae; Streptophyta; Magnoliopsida; Malpighiales; Euphorbiaceae
Source: RNAcentral
AAACUACAAGAACCAAGCAUAUAACUACGGCAAUGCUGGGAUGCUACAAUAAGGUUAUACCAAAUCCAAAAUAACAUCAUUAUAAUCUGCGUAACAUACUAUGAAAUGCAUUUAGCAUAUGUAAGCCAUUCAGCAAGAAAUGACAUAUAUGCUAAGAGAAAAUCUCACUUAGUAACAAGCAUAUAACAACAGCAACACCUGAAUUCCAAAAGAAGAUAAAAUUGAAAAUCUUUGGUAAAUUGAAAAUCUUUGGUCAUGAUCAGCAUCA